UAAGGAAUAUUGGUCAAUGGACGGAAGUUUGAACCAGCCAUGCCGCGUGGAGGAUGAAGGCCCUUUGGGUUGUAAACUUCUUUUAGUUGGGACGAAACACUCUUUAUCUAAAGAGCUUGACGGUACCAGAUGAAUAAGCACCGGCUAACUCCGUGCCAGCAGCCGCGGUAAUACGGAGGGUGCAAGCGUUAUCCGGAUUCACUGGGUUUAAAGGGUGCGUAGGCGGAUUUGUAAGUCCGUGGUGAAAGCUCUAAGCUUAACUUGGAGAUUGCCGUGGAUACUAUCAGUCUUGAAUGUUGUGGAGGUUAGCGGAAUAUGUCAUGUAGCGGUGGAAUGCAUAGAUAUGACAUAGAACACCAAUUGCGAAGGCAGCUGGCUACGCAACUAUUGACGCUGAGGCACGAAAGCGUGGGGAUCAAACA
Molecule: ribosomal RNA, 422 nt
Filed under: uncultured bacterium
Lineage: Bacteria
Description: bacterial SSU rRNA
Rfam family: Bacterial small subunit ribosomal RNA
Source: RNAcentral